RNAcentral lists this ribosomal RNA (253 nucleotides) under uncultured bacterium. Its description in RNAcentral is "partial 16S ribosomal RNA". It matches the Rfam family "Bacterial small subunit ribosomal RNA", at positions 524 to 776 of the family's 1533-position model. The record is from RNAcentral.
UACGAAGGGGGCUAGCGUUGCUCGGAAUCACUGGGCGUAAAGCGCACGUAGGCGGCUUUGUAAGUUAGAGGUGAAAGCCCGGGGCUCAACUCCGGAAUUGCCUUUAAGACUGCAUCGCUAGAAUUGUGGAGAGGUAAGUGGAAUUCCGAGUGUAGAGGUGAAAUUCGUAGAUAUUCGGAAGAACACCAGUGGCGAAGGCGACUUACUGGACACAUAUUGACGCUGAGGUGCGAAAGCGUGGGGAGCAAACAGG